Cajanus cajan (pigeon pea) is the source of this 299-nucleotide non-coding RNA. It matches the Rfam family "Plant signal recognition particle RNA". NCBI's taxonomy places the organism in Eukaryota, Viridiplantae, Streptophyta, Magnoliopsida, Fabales, Fabaceae. The record is from Rfam.
GCCGAGCUGGGUAACAUCAGCUUGUGACCCAAGUGGGGGCAUCCUUGUGAUGGGACAAGGCUUUGCCUUAGCCAGGCUGGGUUGGAGGCUGCAUUAUGCUGGCCUGCCCGCUCCAAGUCGAGAGUUGAGCCAUGGGAUCUGGGCGAAGGCAUAGGUCUCCUGGUUCCUAGACUAGAGGGCACCGCGUGAGGCUGGUUUCACAGAGCAGCGAUCACCCCUGCCUCUCGACAGUGGAGGGAUUACAGGCUGCUGCACUUCUAGCCCAUGAAGCCCGACUAACUUAGCUCUUGAACCAUCAU